Molecule: transfer RNA, 73 nt
Filed under: Fidelibacterota bacterium
Lineage: Bacteria; Pseudomonadati; Fidelibacterota
Also listed under: 1 other name
Description: tRNA-Thr
Rfam family: tRNA
About the family: Transfer RNA (tRNA) molecules are approximately 80 nucleotides in length. Their secondary structure includes four short double-helical elements and three loops (D, anti-codon, and T loops). Further hydrogen bonds mediate the characteristic L-shaped molecular structure. tRNAs have two regions of fundamental functional importance: the anti-codon, which is responsible for specific mRNA codon recognition, and the 3' end, to which the tRNAs corresponding amino acid is attached (by aminoacyl-tRNA synthetases). tRNAs cope with the degeneracy of the genetic code in two manners: having more than one tRNA (with a specific anti-codon) for a particular amino acid; and 'wobble' base-pairing, i.e. permitting non-standard base-pairing at the 3rd anti-codon position.
Source: RNAcentral
GCCACCAUAGCUCAGUUGGUAGAGCAGUCGCCUUGUAAGCGACGGGGCGCGGGUUCGAGUCCUGCUGGUGGCU